CAGCCGCCGCGGUAAAACGAAGGGUGCAAGCGUUAAUCGGAAUUACUGGGCGUAAAGCGUGCGUAGGCGGUGAGUUAAGUCUGCUGUGAAAUCCCCGGGCUCAACCUGGGAAUGGCAGUGGAUACUGGCUCGCUAGAGUGUGUCAGAGGAUGGUGGAAUUCCCGGUGUAGCGGUGAAAUGCGUAGAGAUCGGGAGGAACAUCAGUGGCGAAGGCGGCCAUCUGGGACAACACUGACGCUGAGGCACGAAAGCGUGGGGAGCAAACAGGAUUAGAUACCCGCGUAGUCCCUGUCUCUUAUAC
This 301-nucleotide ribosomal RNA is filed under the name uncultured bacterium. RNAcentral describes it as "partial 16S ribosomal RNA". It matches the Rfam family "Bacterial small subunit ribosomal RNA", at positions 509 to 807 of the family's 1533-position model. The record is from RNAcentral.